Molecule: ribosomal RNA, 446 nt
Filed under: uncultured Desulfotomaculum sp.
Lineage: Bacteria; Bacillati; Bacillota; Clostridia; Eubacteriales; Desulfotomaculaceae
Description: bacterial SSU rRNA
Rfam family: Bacterial small subunit ribosomal RNA
Source: RNAcentral
UACGGGAGGCAGCAGUGGGGAAUCUUCCGCAAUUGGCGAAAGCCUGACGGAGCAACUCCGCGUGAGGGAAGAAGGCUUUCGGGUUGUAAACCUCUGUCUUAAGGGAAGAACAAAAUGACGGUACCUUGAGAGGAAGCCCCGGCUAACUACGUGCCAGCAGCCGCGGUAAAACGUAGGGGGCGAGCGUUGUCUGGAAUUACUGGGCGUAAAGGGCGCGUAGGUGGUGCAUUAAGUUAGAGGUGAAAGUCCGGGGCUUAACCCCGUGAGGCCUCUGAUACUGGUGGACUUGAGUGCAGGAGAGGGGAGCAGAAUUCCCAGUGUAGCGCUGAAAUGCGUAGAUAUUGGGAGGAAUACCAGUGGCGAAGGCGGCUCUCUGGACUGUAACUGACACUGAGGCGCGAAAGCGUGGGGAGAGAACACGAUUUGAUAUCCUGGUAGUCCACGCC